UACAGAGGGUGCGAGCGUUAAUCGGAGUUACUGGGCGUAAAGGGCGCGUAGGCGGUUAUAUAAGAUUGAUGUGAAAUCCCUGGGCUUAACCCAGGAACUGCAUUGAUAACUGUAUGACUGGAGUACUGUAGAGGGUAGUGGAAUUUCCGGUGUAGCGGUGAAAUGCGUAGAGAUCGGAAGGAACACCAGUGGCGAAGGCGGCUACCUGGACAGAUACUGACGCUGAGGCGCGAGAGCGUGGGGAGCAAACAGG
Molecule: ribosomal RNA, 253 nt
Filed under: uncultured bacterium
Lineage: Bacteria
Description: partial 16S ribosomal RNA
Rfam family: Bacterial small subunit ribosomal RNA
Source: RNAcentral